GAUGAAUGCUGGCGGCGUGCUUAACACAUGCAAGUCGAGCGGAAAGGCCCUUCGGGGUACUCGAGCGGCGGACGGCUGAGUAACGCGUGGGAACAUGCCCCAAAGUGAGGAAUAACUGCCCGAAAGGGUGGCUAAUGCCGCAUAUGAUCUUCGGAUUAAAGGAUUUAUCCGCUUUGGGAGUGGCCUGCGUAUGAUUAGGUAGUUGGUGAGGUAAUGGCUCACCAAGCCGACGAUCAUUAGCUGGUCUGAGAGGAUGACCAGCCAGACUGGAACUGAGACACGGUCCAGACUCCUACGGGAGGCAGCAGUGAGGAAUAUUCCACAAUGGGCGAAAGCCUGAUGGAGCAACGCCGCGUGAAGGAUGAAGGCCCUCGGGUUGUAAACUUCUUUUAUAAGUGACGAUUAUGACGGUAGCAUAUGAAUAAGGAUCGGCUAACUCCGUGCCAGCCGCCGCCGUA
RNAcentral lists this ribosomal RNA (458 nucleotides) under uncultured bacterium. Its description in RNAcentral is "partial 16S ribosomal RNA". It matches the Rfam family "Bacterial small subunit ribosomal RNA", at positions 28 to 522 of the family's 1533-position model. The record is from RNAcentral.